This 76-nucleotide transfer RNA is filed under the name Clostridia bacterium. RNAcentral describes it as "tRNA-Pro". It matches the Rfam family "tRNA". From Rfam's summary of the family: Transfer RNA (tRNA) molecules are approximately 80 nucleotides in length. Their secondary structure includes four short double-helical elements and three loops (D, anti-codon, and T loops). RNAcentral also lists the same sequence under 2 other names. The record is from RNAcentral. Lineage: Bacteria; Bacillati; Bacillota; Clostridia.
CGGGGUGUGGCGCAGCUGGUAGCGCGCGUGGUUUGGGACCACGAGGCCCAGAGUUCGAAACUCUGCACUCCGACCA